This 485-nucleotide ribosomal RNA is filed under the name uncultured Acholeplasma sp. RNAcentral's name for it is "bacterial SSU rRNA". It matches the Rfam family "Bacterial small subunit ribosomal RNA", at positions 912 to 1382 of the family's 1533-position model. The record is from RNAcentral. Lineage: Bacteria; Bacillati; Mycoplasmatota; Mollicutes; Acholeplasmatales; Acholeplasmataceae.
GAAACGUUAAAGGAAGUUACGACGGGACCCCGCACAAGCGGUGGAUCAUGUUGUUUAAUUCGAUGAUACGCGAAGAACCUUACCAGGUCUUGACAUCCCCCGCGAUGCUUUAGAGAUAAAGCGGAGGUAUUCGGGGAGACAGGUGGUGCAUGGUUGUCGUCAGCUCGUGUCGUGAGAUGUUGGGUUAAGUCCCGCAACGAGCGCAACCCCUAUUGCUAGUUACCAUCAUUAAGUUGGGGACUCUAGCGAGACUGCCAGUGAUAAACUGGAGGAAGGUGGGGAUGACGUCAAAUCAUCAUGCCCCUUAUGACCUGGGCUACAAACGUGAUACAAUGGCUGGAACAAAGGGAUGCGAAGCAGUGAUGUGGAGCGAAACCCAUAAAAACAGUCUCAGUUCGGAUUGAAGUCUGCAACUCGACUUCAUGAAGUCGGAAUCGCUAGUAAUCGCGGAUCAGAACGCCGCGGUGAAUACGUUCUCGGGGUUU